RNAcentral lists this ribosomal RNA (253 nucleotides) under uncultured bacterium. RNAcentral's name for it is "partial 16S ribosomal RNA". It matches the Rfam family "Bacterial small subunit ribosomal RNA", at positions 524 to 776 of the family's 1533-position model. The record is from RNAcentral.
UACGAAGGGGGCUAGCGUUGCUCGGAAUCACUGGGCGUAAAGGGUGCGUAGGCGGGUCUUUAAGUCAGGGGUGAAAUCCUGGAGCUCAACUCCAGAACUGCCUUUGAUACUGAAGAUCUUGAGUUCGGGAGAGGUGAGUGGAACUGCGAGUGUAGAGGUGAAAUUCGUAGAUAUUCGCAAGAACACCAGUGGCGAAGGCGGCUCGCUGGGACGUGACUGACGCUGAGACGCGAAAGCGUGGGGAGCAAACAGG